Molecule: small nucleolar RNA, 138 nt
Filed under: Mus caroli (Ryukyu mouse)
Lineage: Eukaryota; Metazoa; Chordata; Mammalia; Rodentia; Muridae
Description: predicted gene, 26418 (MGP_CAROLIEiJ_G0035689.1)
Rfam family: Small nucleolar RNA SNORA64/SNORA10 family
About the family: This family belongs to the H/ACA class of small nucleolar RNAs (snoRNAs) which act as guides in the the modification of uridines to pseudouridines. This family includes the human snoRNAs U64 and ACA10 and mouse MBI-29.
Source: RNAcentral
ACCUCCCCAUGUUCUGCCAAUCACACAGAUCCAGCAUGUGCUUGGCACACUUUCAAAGCAGAGAGAAAAUGGCCUUCCCAAUGCCCAGCAGACCUGCCCCAAAGUGGCUUCUUUGUUGUUACUAGGAGUUUCACAGCU